UCCCUUGGGAUGAGUCCAAGACUACAAU
This 28-nucleotide non-coding RNA is filed under the name Homo sapiens (human). The record is from RNAcentral. Lineage: Eukaryota; Metazoa; Chordata; Mammalia; Primates; Hominidae.